CAGCAGCCGCGGUAAUCCGAAGGGGGCUAGCGUUGUUCGGAAUCACUGGGCGUAAAGGGUGCGCAGGCUGGUUCUUAAGUCAGGGGUGAAAUCCCGAGGCUCAACCUCGGAACGGCCUUUGGUACUGGGGAUCUUGAGUCCGGAAGAGGUGAGUGGAACUGCGAGUGUAGAGGUGAAAUUCGUAGAUAUUCGCAAGAACACCGGUGGCGAAGGCGGCUCACUGGUCCGGAACUGACGCUGAGGCACGACAGCGUGGGGAGCAAACAGGAUUAGAUACCCCAGUAGUCCCUGUCUCUUAUAU
This 301-nucleotide ribosomal RNA is filed under the name uncultured bacterium. RNAcentral's name for it is "partial 16S ribosomal RNA". It matches the Rfam family "Bacterial small subunit ribosomal RNA", at positions 509 to 809 of the family's 1533-position model. The record is from RNAcentral.